AUGUCAUCCGGGGCUGUGAAUCACGCGGUGCAACCGGGCACCUGCCGCGUGAGGAGCCAGUGGUGCGACCGAUCGGACGGGCA
Molecule: regulatory RNA element, 83 nt
Organism: Deinococcus peraridilitoris DSM 19664
Lineage: Bacteria; Thermotogati; Deinococcota; Deinococci; Deinococcales; Deinococcaceae
Rfam family: Cyclic di-GMP-II riboswitch aptamer
Source: Rfam